This 811-nucleotide long non-coding RNA is filed under the name Mytilus galloprovincialis (Mediterranean mussel). Lineage: Eukaryota; Metazoa; Mollusca; Bivalvia; Mytilida; Mytilidae. The record is from RNAcentral.
CCGAGAUCUAGUUUUAUGGGGUUCAAAAUACUAUAUAUAACAUGUAUAGUGACUGACGAGUUAUAAACAAUGAAAGUAUCUGAAAUUUAAAAAUAUGAAUUUAAACAUCAGAAUGGCAUUGCGCCUUUUUUAAACAACGACUAAAACUUAACUAAACAAAAAGUACCUGCUAAAUUUAUCCGGCGGAAAGCACGUUUUAUCCACAGAAUAAAUGUUGAGAAAGGGAAAUAAUCAAUUGGUUUAAUCAAUGGAUAAGCAGUUUAACCACUGGCUAACCGACUAUCCAACGUUUUAAGCAAGUGAGCAACCCAAUCCAGAAGCACUAGAGUUAAACACAGUUAUUAUUGUAGGAUUCACAAAUAACUCGAUAUUUCUUCAUUCUUUUCACUCUUAUCGUGUAUACCUGCCUUGAGAAUGGGCGGCAUACAAUAAUGCAGUUACCUGUCCAUCAAAAGAUUUGAUUCCUGCUGAGUAAUCUUGAACACAAUGGUAUAAAUAAUUAAACCUCGAUAAAACUCGAUUGUACAACCAUACCAUCAUUGUGUCAUUUACACUGUGUAUCAUCGCCACCGGAAAUUGGGUACUAACGAAGCGGAGAGAAAUAGAAAAAAAAGUAAACAAGUUAAGAUUUCGUUCAAUUUAAAGCAUUUCCACUCAUUUGAUGAGGGUGCCGCUUAAGAAAUGAUUUUCUGGUGAAUAAUUCUUUAAAUAAUUAGGCCGAUAAGUACAAAAUUAAAUCAAGAUUUUGUGUAAUACCCCAAAACUUGCCACUUAGUACCGGAAAAUUUCGAGGUCGAUCGUCCUCUGUCGC